AUGAACGCUAGCGGCAGGCCUAAUACAUGCAAGUCGGACGGGAUUCAGGAGCUUGCUUCUGAUGAGAGUGGCGCACGGGUGCGUAACACGUAUGUAACCUACCUUUAUCAGGGGGAUAGCCUCUCGAAAGAGAGAUUAAGCCCGCAUAAAAUCACAGCACAGCAUUGUGUAAUGAUCAAAUAUUUAUAGGAUAAAGAUGGGCAUGCGGAACAUUAGCUAGAUGGCGGGGUAACGGCCCACCAUGGCGACGAUGUUUAGGGGAUCUGAGAGGAUGGCCCCCCACACUGGUACUGAGACACGGACCAGACUCCUACGGGAGGCAGCAGUAAGGAAUAUUGGGCAAUGGGCGGAAGCCUGAACCAGCCAUGCCGCGUGCAGGAAGACGGCCCUACGGGUUGUAAACUGCUUUUAUACGGGAAUAAACCCAGAUACGUGUAUCUGGCUGAAUGUACUGUAAGAAUAAGGAUCGGCUAACUCCGUG
RNAcentral lists this ribosomal RNA (481 nucleotides) under uncultured bacterium. RNAcentral describes it as "partial 16S ribosomal RNA". It matches the Rfam family "Bacterial small subunit ribosomal RNA", at positions 29 to 507 of the family's 1533-position model. The record is from RNAcentral.